RNAcentral lists this ribosomal RNA (929 nucleotides) under Monothalamids sp. Its description in RNAcentral is "SSU rRNA". It matches the Rfam family "Eukaryotic small subunit ribosomal RNA", at positions 1160 to 1828 of the family's 1831-position model. The record is from RNAcentral. Lineage: Eukaryota; Foraminifera.
AAGGGCACCACAAGAACGCGUGGAGCAUGUGGCUUAAUUUGACUCAACGCGGGAAAACUUACCGGGUCCGGACACACUGAGGAUUGACAGGCGACCUUUAAUGUAAAUUAUGCUAGUCCUUUCAUGAUUGUGUGAUAGGUGGUGCAUGGCCGUUCUUAGUUCGUGGAGUGAUCUGUCUGCUUAAUUGCGUUUCAGAUAAAGGGAGUUUUCAGGGUAGGUCAUUGUGUCUCUGUAACAGGAGACAGCUCUGGCUGCGCCCGGCUCCUUGAAAGCAACGAACGUGACCGCAGCCCUUUGUUGGACGUCCUCCGCCUCUCACGAGGCGAUGUUGUUUGAUGUCCUAACUAAGGGGACCGCCAGGCUUUUUAAAACCGGAGGAAGGUUGCGGCAAUAACAGGUCUGUGAUGCCCUUAGAUGUUCCGGGCUGCACACGUGCUACAAUGAUUGUUACAGAAAGUAUCUACUACUGAUUGUUCUCGAAGACCUUCGGUCGGAAAGGACCACGGAUGGACAUGUCAUUUAUUUGACUAGCUUUCCACCGUGAAACCUACCUCGAAAGUCCGGUAGGCAAUCAAUUCCAAGUGACAAUCUCCCCUGCACAAAUUAAUGUUACUAUGUCGCAAAUUUAUUUGCAAUUAGUUGACAUGUGCUCUAUAAAUUCGUGGUCGGGACAGACCAUUGCUAAUUGUUGGUCUCGGUCUCAACUAGGAAUGCCUUGUACGGGUCUUUGGUUCAACAAACCACCCGGAAUACGUCCCUGCCCUUUGUACACACCGCCCGUCGCUCUUACCGAUGGACUUCUCUGUGAGUUUGAGGGACUGGCGUCACGCCUCGUGUGUGCGAUGCUAUGGAAACUCAAACGAACAGUGUGGUCUAAAGGAAAGAGAAGUCGUAACAAGGCAUCGGUAGGUGAACCUGCAGAAGGAUCA